UAUCUCUGUAGAGUCUGCAUAUCAAUAAGCGGAGGAAAAGAAACUAACUAGGAUUCCCUCAGUAACGGCGAGUGAAGCGGGAAGAGCUCAAAUUUGAAAUCUUCAAGGUUCUACCUUGACGAAUUGUAGUUUAAAGAAGUGUUUUCUGUUGAGUGUUUUGGUAAAAGUUCUUUGGAAUAGGACAUCAUAGAGGGUGAGAAUCCCGUAUUUGACCAUUUACUUUCAGCGUUGUGAUACACUUUCAAAGAGUCGGAUUGUUUGGGAAUGCAGUCCAAAAUGGGUGGUAAAUUUCAUCUAAAGCUAAAUAUUGGCGAGAGACCGAUAGCGAACAAGUACCGUGAGGGAAAGAUGAAAAGAACUUUGAAAAGAGAGUUAAACAGUACGUGAAAUUGUCAAAAGGGAAGCGUUUGACACCAGUGUUGUUUUCUCGAAAAUCAAUUAAAAAAAGUUGGAUUUUGUAUUGUUAAGACCUUAUCAGCUUACUGUACUCUUUUCUUGCUUUUUUUAAUGCACUUUUCGUUUAACAAGUCAACAUCAAUUUCUUUUGAUGUAAAAGAGUCAUUGGAAGGUGGCUUUCACUUCGGUGAAAGUGUUUAUAGCCUUUGGCUUCUGCAAUCGGAGAGAUUGAGGUCCGCAGCGUAGAUCCUUCGGGGCUAGAUACGUAGAUGCUAAGUUAUAGUUUUUUAUAGACAACUUGUUGACUAUAAUUAAUCAUGUAGCUUACUCGUUUGCGCUAUUUUACCUACGCUUAGGAUGUUGAAGAUGUAGCACAUCAU
Molecule: ribosomal RNA, 776 nt
Filed under: uncultured Neocallimastigales
Lineage: Eukaryota; Fungi; Neocallimastigomycota; Neocallimastigomycetes; Neocallimastigales
Description: partial large subunit ribosomal RNA
Rfam family: Eukaryotic large subunit ribosomal RNA
Source: RNAcentral